Molecule: ribosomal RNA, 407 nt
Filed under: uncultured bacterium
Lineage: Bacteria
Description: partial 16S ribosomal RNA
Rfam family: Bacterial small subunit ribosomal RNA
Source: RNAcentral
AUUGAACGCUGGCGGCAGGCCUAACACAUGCAAGUCGAGCGGAGCGGCGGACGGGUGAGUAAUGCCUAGGAAUCUGCCUGGUAGUGGGGGAUAACGUCCGGAAACGGGCGCUAAUACCGCAUACUAUCAGAUGAGCCUAGGUCGGCUUAGCUAGUUGGUGGGGUAAAGGCCUACCAAGGCGACGAUCCGUAACUGGUCUGAGAGGAUGAUCAGUCACCCUGGAACUGGUAUACGGCCCAGACGCCGACGGGAGGCGGCAGUGGGGGAGAUUGCACACUGGGCGAAUGCCUGAUGCAGCGACGCCGCAUGGGGGAUGAAGGCUUUCGGGUUGUAAACCUCUUUCGCUAUCGAAUGGGUAGGUGGAGAAGAAGCGCCGGCUAACUACGUGCCAGCAGCCGCGGUAAUAC